AACAGGGAAAGGUUUAUUCCCUGCUGAAAAGAGAAGAAGACACAACGUUUCAGCUGCGGAGCCUUCUUCGGGUGUCAGGACAUGGAAUAAAGGUUUAAUCCUCUCUCCCGCAGGCUUGAAACGCCUCUCUCCUGGAAACCAAGGCACACAGGAGCAGAAGUCAAACGCUGGGUAUUCUGGCCCGGGGCAGGAGCGGUGAGGUUCUGAAGGGAGGCGAUGGCGGGCGAUCCCGGGCUCGAGCUGCAGGCCGGCCCCUCUCCCCCAGCCUGCAGAUACCAAUCGCUCCCUGCACUGGCCCAGGGAGGGCUGGCUGGGAAGUUUAGUACAUGAGGGACAGCCUCCAUCUUGAGCGGAGAGCGCCCCAGACAACAGGGAGCUCUUGGGAUGAGGAGGAGCGGCCGGAGUCAAAAAGAGAGAGAAAGGGAGAAAAGCAGGGCAAGGGAGUAGAGGAGACAGCAGGAGGGGGCAGGGAAAGAGAAGGAGGAAGAAGCAGAGCACGCUCAGAGGCGUUUUCGUGCAGGAUGGCUCCUAAAGGCGACCCCCGCCUCACAUUCUCGAAGCAGCGGUCUGGGCUGGUGGUAAUAUUUGGGAGGCGCCCGUAUACUAACCACAUGUCUCAUCCCGUGAUCCCGAGGCUGUUUUUCAGCUGGCGAAGAAAGCCGACCUGUGACAGGUGCACACCGCUCCUCUCCCCCUUUGCCUCGGCUCUGUUACUUUCAAAAGAAUAAACCAAUACAGUUUAUGUUCCGAAAAACCAUUUCCCAGCUCAUCUCUCAGUGAGCGCGCACAAGCAGACACGCUUGAGGUGUUCAGACAACAUAACCACAGAAUCAGGAGCGAUUUUUAUUUAGACCUCCGUGCGACACUCCAGCGCGCCCCGAGAGCACACAGCGUCUUAGCGACAGCAUUUCAGAGGCGUUGUUGCAAAACAGUUACCAAGACACCUGCAGGUGAAAACGGGACGGAACAGGCCAAAAUAACCUUCGCUGCUUUUGUUCUGAAACAAAAACUACGUCGAGUUUGAUAUUUUUGCGUCUCGAAAAGUGCAGCGAUUUUUUUUUGUUACAAAAAUGCACCAGAACAUUCACGUAUCACAAAAUUCACGAAACAAUACUUGUUUUGUCUAAAAAACACAGUAAGCACACCUGUAAACAGUCAAAUAAAGUUGAUUCAAACUUCUUGGGGAAAAAAAAGCGAAAAUGUUCAAGUAUCAUAAAACGGAAGAACAAGAGAUACUAGAUUGACAACGGAAAUAAAAAAA
Non-coding RNA from Lepisosteus oculatus (spotted gar), 1261 nucleotides. The record is from RefSeq and is a predicted model, not a curated record. Lineage: Eukaryota; Metazoa; Chordata; Actinopteri; Semionotiformes; Lepisosteidae.